RNA transcript from Zingiber officinale, 2546 nucleotides. It is a transcript of the gene named CRM-domain containing factor CFM9, mitochondrial-like, with no coding region annotated. The record is from RefSeq and is a predicted model, not a curated record. NCBI's taxonomy places the organism in Eukaryota, Viridiplantae, Streptophyta, Magnoliopsida, Zingiberales, Zingiberaceae. The transcript is spliced from 8 exons.
ACUUCUCACGCGUAGCAACACUAAAUUGUCACCGCCGCCGCCUUCUUCGACAGCGCUCAAGCUUCCCGCUCAGGCCAUGCCGGAGCGCCUCCGACGUCGUUUUCCGAUUCAUCAGGAGAGCAAGCCACGUUAUUUACCGGAACUUUGGAACGACGUGAGACGUUCCCGUGCUGGAACGCCGGUUCCGGCCGUUCCACGCCCGUUCCGACGAACCAUGUCCUCAUUCGACUGAUCCAAAACAUCUGCGAGUGAUUUCUCCUUUUGCAGCAACUGAUCCAAAACAUCUUCUUCCUCCUCUUCUGAUUUGGAGUAAUCCACAGCAGUGGUCACCUCUUGCGAGUUCGUCCAUCUUCUUCCUUCCCUGCCGUCUGCCCAUCGAAGCAGACCUAGGGUUUGGAGCAGGGGACCUUGUCGCGCCAACUUACUGAAACGACGGGUCUGGAAGUUGUUCAGGGAUUGUUUGACAUAUACUAGUCAAGAUCUGACUUGUAGGCACGAAGACCAAGAAUUUUGAGGUGUAUGAUAUUUGCUUUGUGGAAAAGCCAACAAAUAUUCAUCCUGUAUUUAGUUGAAUGAUAUUCAUCUCCAACAUGCGGGCUCUCAGAAACUUACAAAGACACUGCUGGAAAAGUGCUUCACUUCUCGGAAAGAGGUGUUAUUCACAUGGGAAUAUAUGCUUGAAAACGUGGCCGAAUAAUGUGCACUCAGUGCUGCCUAGAGAAGUUUAUUGUAAUUCUAUCAACCAGUUGGGUUCAACUUCUGGGCAUCGAUUUAUGUCGACAACAAGAGGAAGAAGCAUGCAGAGCAAGGUGGAGAAGAGAAUGCGAAGAGAAACAGGAAAAACUUUAAAAGAGAUCAGACGUGCAAAAAAAAUAAGAAAGAAGUUAAUGACAGAAGAGGAAAGGCUACUAUACAACUUACGGAGAGCCAAGAAAAAGGUGGCAUUGCUUCUUCAAAAGCUCAAAAAAUAUGAAUUGCCAGAGUUACCACCUCCUCGGCAUGAUCCUGAACUACUUACUCUUGAGCAACUUCAGGCUUAUAAGAAGAUAGGUUUCAGAAAUAGAAAUUAUGUUCCUGUUGGAGUUCGUGGGGUCUUUGGAGGAGUAGUUCAAAACAUGCAUCUCCAUUGGAAGUUUCAUGAGACUGUGCAAGUUUGUUGUGACAAUUUUCCUAAGGAAAAAAUCAAAGAAAUGGCAACCAUGAUAGCAAGAUUAAGUGGCGGCAUUGUUGUUAAUAUACACGAUGUGAAAACCAUUAUUAUGUUUCGUGGACGAAAUUACAGACAACCAAAGAAUCUGAUACCAAUCAACACCCUGACUAAAAGGAAGGCCCUAUUCAAAGCCAGAUUUGAGCAGGCUCUUGAAUCUCAAAAGUUGAACAUCAAAAAAAUUGAGCAAGAGCUAAGACGCAAGGGUGUCAAUCCAGAGGACCCAAUUGCCAUGGCUAGCAUUCAGAGAAUUGCUACUACAUUUUUUAGGGCUAUUGAUGAGAAACAAGGGACUCCAUAUAUAUUCCAUGGGGAUAAACCAUCCACAGCAGAAAUUGUUGAUAAUCUAGAUGAGUCUAUUGAUGUACCUUCUGAGGACAGUGACCAGGAGGAACUCGACCGCUUUAUUCGAGAGAUUGAAGAUGCUGCAGACAAAGAGUGGGAAGAGGAGGAAGCGGUAGAGAAAGAGGAACUUUCAAGAAUUAGGUAUUGGGGAAAAGAUGACAUGGGUCGGUCAAGCAGGGCACCAAAUUGGAGAAGUGAUAAUUCAGAAGAUGAGGAUAGGGCUCAUGUAAGGCGUUGGAAUGGUACUUCUACUGGAUUGGGAAAUACAGAGAGGAAAAAUUGGGAUAGUGACAAUGACAUGUCCACAGCUUCAGAAGACGAGUGGGAUUAUGAUGACAAAGUGAGUGAUGCUACAAUUGAUGUUGAUAGACAUAACUCCUAUAGUAAAAACGGGACUCGAGAAAGAGAGACAAAUAAAAUAAAACAGAGAAAAAGCAGGGCUGCCCCAAAGGAACAUUUGAGAGAUAGAGCUAGUGUUGAAACCAGAUGGAGAGAACAUGAAGAUAUCAGCCUAGAUGGUGAUGUUUUGGGAGAUUCAGAAGAUGCGGUUGGGGAAUCAGAAGAUGAGGACGGACACAAUUUUGUGGAAUCAACAAUGGGCCCUUAUGAUUAUCUCAGCAAUGAAGACUCAGAAGACAACGAUAGCGGGAGUAGACAGAAGAUAGGUGCGCUUGAUGAGAAAAAGGGUGAUGAAAGUUGGGAUAGUGAUUAAUCAAUUAGGUGCCAACCUGUAACUCAUUUUAUAUGCAGGUGAAUGGAAGUAGCAAUUGAAAAUUGAAAUAGAAAAGCGUAUCUUGGAAAGAGUGAGAAAGAGUAGGAUACAUGGGAAGGUGGCAGAGCCUUUUGCAGCAUUCUUGAAUGGUAGGAUACUUUGUUUCGUCAUUAGAGAUUUUCUGAUCAUACAUGAGAAUGUAAUAUUGAAUGUAUUGCUUUUGAUCAUGAGAUAUUGAAUUUCAUUGAGUGGCAUAAACUGACUGACAAGUGAAGUCUGGUU